GACGAACGCUGGCGGCGUGCUUAACACAUGCAAGUCGAACGGAAAGGCCUUUUCGGAGGUACUCGAGUGGCGAACGGGUGAGUAACACGUGGGUGAUCUGCCCUGCACUCUGGGAUAAGCCUGGGAAACUGGGUCUAAUACCGGAUAGGACCGCACUUUAGUGUGUGUGGUGGAAAGUUUUUUCGGUGUAGGAUGAGACCGCGGCCUAUCAGCUUGUUGGUGGGGUAAUGGCCUACCAAGGCGGCGACGGGUAGCCGGACUGAGAGGUUGGUCGGCCACAUUGGGACUGAGAUACGGCCCAGACUCCUACGGGAGGCAGCAGUGGGGAAUAUUGCACAAUGGGCGCAAGCCUGAUGCAGCGACGCCGCGUGGGGGAUGACGGCCUUCGGGUUGUAAACUCCUUUCGCCAGGGACGAAGCGUUUUGUGACGGUACCUGGAGAAGAAGCACCGGCUAACUACGUG
RNAcentral lists this ribosomal RNA (463 nucleotides) under uncultured bacterium. RNAcentral describes it as "partial 16S ribosomal RNA". It matches the Rfam family "Bacterial small subunit ribosomal RNA", at positions 28 to 507 of the family's 1533-position model. The record is from RNAcentral.